RNAcentral lists this non-coding RNA (593 nucleotides) under Pan troglodytes (chimpanzee). Lineage: Eukaryota; Metazoa; Chordata; Mammalia; Primates; Hominidae. The record is from RNAcentral.
GAGACUACAGAGAGAGAAUGCUAAUGAGCUGUGAAAUGACCAAAGAUCUGGCAGCAGAAGGGAAAAGAAAAAAUAAUGGGAACAAGAGGAUUUAUCUGACUCAACUGGAGAUGGCUCCCUUCCCUAAUUUAUUGUUGCAUCCUGAAGCUUCCCCCAUGCUGGGCUCAGUGUGAACAAACAGCGCGGGAGAAUGCAACCACUGCAGAGGCAUAUGUUUGAGAUGCCUGGCCACUGGAGGUCAUCUCGUCUACUAUGUUCACCACAGAUAAAGAAUGAAAAGAGAAUAUACAACCUUGUGAUUGCUAGCAGUGAAAGCUCAGAGUUAUGACAUAACAUGCUGCAGUGCUGGCAGCCGUCCCGAGAAGGCUCUGAAGAGUGGGCUGGUUAACAGGAGCGUUUUCACUGCAGGCAGACUCGGUUGCCUUGGUGAAGUCCCCGUGCAUCUGAAGAGUGGCUCAUCUGUUCCUGCCUGGGGAUCACUUGUGCUCAUCCAGGCAUGGCCCCCACAAGAAAUCUGGGAGAAUGGCGAGCUGGUGCCAGCUGAACUGUGAACCUCUAAGAAUAAGUGAAUAAAACGAUUUUAUGCACUACAA